GAUGAAGAACGUAGCGAAAUGCGAUACGUAAUGUGAAUUGCAGAAUUCAGUGAAUCAUCGAGUCUUUGAACGCACAUUGCGCCCUCUGGUAUUCCGGAGGGCAUGCCUGUCCGAGCGUCAUUGCUGCCCUCAAGCACGGCUUGUGUGUUGGGCCCCGCCCCCCGAUCCCGGGGGGCGGGCCCGAAAGGCAGCGGCGGCACCGCGUCCGGUCCUCGAGCGUAUGGGGCUUUGUCACCCACUCUGUAGGCCCGGCCGGCGCUUGCCGAUCAACCAAACUUUUUUCCAGGUUGACCUCGGAUCAGGUAGGGAUACCCGCUGAACUUAAGCAUAUCAAUAAGCGGAGGA
This 345-nucleotide unclassified non-coding RNA is filed under the name soil metagenome. RNAcentral's name for it is "partial contains 5.8S ribosomal RNA, internal transcribed spacer 2, and large subunit ribosomal RNA". The stretch from base 1 to 120 matches the Rfam family "5.8S ribosomal RNA", at positions 35 to 154 of the family's 154-position model. The record is from RNAcentral.